GCGGCACUUCGCGAAGUGGCACUUCGGGGCUGCCGGCCCGCCGGGUCGCGGCCUGGCGCUGCGGGGAGGGGACCGGAGCGGCUUGGACGCCGGACGCCGCGGGCGGGGCUUACAGGAUUCUUUUGGUUGCACAUGACAGAAAGCCAACUCAAACUGGCCCUGACAAAUGAGGACAUUUACCCGAAGGCAGGAACGUCUCCACUGACCCUGACCCCUUCCUCCGGGCCAGCUGGGUGCUGUGCACGCCACACCUGCGGACCUCACACUGGCCCUAGGACUGACAUCCACUGGCCUGAACUGGGUCUGGGCCAGCAGGGAGCAGGUGGGGGCACAGCAGCCCUCUCGCCCAAAGGAAAGUUGAAUGGCUGGAACGAAGAUGACAGACGGAGGCCGGCAGGCAAACACGGGCGGUCUCCUCGCUCCAAGAGGGGAGUGAACCUGGGAACUUUUCUUCUCCAGGCCUCGCCGCUCCCACCAGCCGCAACGCAGGACAGGGAGGCCCCUCCAGAAAAGCUCCCAUGGUCCUGGGUCCCACCCCACCUUCUAGAAUCUCCAAAGGUUAUUUCCUGACCCGCCUACAUGUGAUUGCACUUCUCCAUCCAAGGGGACACUCACAUUUGAUGACCGACUCAGAGCCCAGGCUGCUUUCCAGGUGGCCAGUGGCUCAGCGGUCUCGGUGCCUGGGUCUGCUCCCUCCGCCUGGCGGCUGGGCAGGAGGCUGAAUGGCAGGAUGGAGGCCGUCCCUGAGAAGAGGGUUAUCAGAACACCUGCCGCAUAUGGAGAUGACCAGCUUGGCACCCGAGGAGACGCCCGUGGCUGACGGCAGGCACAGAGCUGGACGUGGGGAAGUCCUCGUACCUAGGAAUGGAGAACAAGGCCAAGAAACUUGGCGCCCGCCUGGCAUCUGCUCUGUACCACCAGCUUCCAGGAAGGUCUCUACCAAGGCUGUGCCCAUGUACUCCGUGCUCGCCUUCACCAGCGUCCUGUGAGGCCUUUCUGACUGAUGUGGAAGCCUUUCUAAAGGGCAUAGGUGUCUGGGGUCUGGGGGGCUGAGUACCAAGGUUCCUGGGGAUAGACAGGCCAGGUUUAUGGGCUGGGCAUCCGGAGAUCGCCGUGAUGCCAGCUCCAGGUGGAGCUAGGAGGCCACUCUUGUCCCGACGCAUUUUAUUUUGGAGACAUUCACAGACCACCCCUUGCUCCUGCUUCCCUUGACUGUUGAGAGCGUGGUGGGGUACACACUGCACAACCCCACUGCUUGCCUGAAGGCUGAGCAGCGUGGCCAGAAAUUGCAGCCCAGACCUGGGAUCUCACCCACGCCUCUACAAAACGGCCCGAAGGAAACCAGUGUCUUGGCAGAGAGGCUUUGCCCUGCCGCCUCCUCCCAGGAAGAAAGAGCAGAAGAGGUGUCGCCAGCCACCGAGACAGCCAGCCACCACCUCCUCCCAGACCCUCCGUCCGCACCCCAGACCAGGGUCAGCUUCCUGCACUGGCGGUGGGGUGGGGUGGAGGUGGGAGCAGGCUUCUGUAAUGAGCAGCUCAUGGGGGUCACUGAGGAGGAGGCAGGCGGAGCCCGUACACUGCAGGCCUCCUCGUGAGCGUCAGCCCUUGUCUGGGCAGCCGGGGGAUCUUUCGCACCCCAGCUCUGAGCCGGGGGUCUGCAGCCCGGGUGCCAGUGAUGGGCCCUCAUGCACACAGGGUGCUGAGCAGGGCCAGGGCAAGAGUGACUUCAGACAAGAACCCGACCCCACAGCUGGUGAUGCCGACCGUGGUCAGCCGCACUGUGGGCCGCUGGGGAGCAGAGGGCUGGAGGCAGUGAGAGCGUGUAGCCUUCAUCAGCUUAUUUUUAGUCGCGUUAUGUAAGUGGCUUCAUCUCAACGUCACAUGGGGGGGGUCUCAGAUUUAAUUACAGGAUGACAGCCUUUGCUUUUCAAGCAAGCUGUUCUCCUGGCAAGGCAGGCGAAGGAUUGGGGAGUUCUGCUCAACAGAAGGAGCCCUUUCCGAGGUGACCACCCAGCAAAACUUGAACCCGCUUUCACCUCCUUCUCCCUCUUCCUGACCAGCCUCAGCUGAGCGCAGCCUGAGAGUAGCCACCUGUCGGCAAUCCUGGGGACAUUUUAUGCCUGUCAAGGGAGCCUCCCCUCUCCCCUUCCUCUCCCUUCCCACCCUCUGCCUGGCAGCUUUGCCUUCUCUCCAAGAGAAGGGUCCGCCCAAUCAGAACUCCUCUUCCCUCUUUUCAUUCCUGGAUUAAAGCACUUGUAAUCAGUAA
Cebus imitator (Panamanian white-faced capuchin) is the source of this 2266-nucleotide long non-coding RNA. RefSeq lists it as uncharacterized. The transcript has 2 exons. NCBI's taxonomy places the organism in Eukaryota, Metazoa, Chordata, Mammalia, Primates, Cebidae. The record is from RefSeq and is a predicted model, not a curated record.